GACCGGCGCACGGGUGAGUAACGCGUAUCCAACCUGCCCACCACUUGGGAAUAACCUUGCGAAAGUAAGACUAAUGCCCAAUGACGUCUCUAGAAGACAUCUGAAGGAGAUUAAAGAUUAUCGGUGAUGGAUGGGGAUGCGUCUGAUUAGCUUGUUGGCGGGGUAACGGCCCACCAAGGCGACGAUCAGUAGGGGUUCUGAGAGGAAGGUCCCCCACAUUGGAACUGAGACACGGUCCAAACUCCUACGGGAGGCAGCAGUGAGGAAUAUUGGUCAAUGGGCGAGAGCCUGAACCAGCCAAGUAGCGUGCAGGAUGACGGCCCUAUGGGUUGUAAACUGCUUUUAUAAGGGAAUAAAGUGAGUCUCGUGAGACUUUUUGCAUGUACCUUAUGAAUAAGGACCGGCUAAUUCCGUGCCAGCAGCCGCGGUAAUACGGAAGGUCCGGGCGUUAUCCGGAUUUAUUGGGUUUAAAGGGAGCGUAGGCCGGAGAUUAAGCGUGUUGUGAAAUGUAGACGCUCAACGUCUGCACUGCAGCGCGAACUGGUUUCCUUGAGUACGCACAAAGUGGGCGGAAUUCGUGGUGUAGCGGUGAAAUGCUUAGAUAUCACGAAGAACUCCGAUUGCGAAGGCAGCUCACUGGAGCGCAACUGACGCUGAAGCUCGAAAGUGCGGGUAUCGAACAGGAUUAGAUACCCUGGUAGUCCGCACGGUAAACGAUGGAUGCCCGCUGUUGGUCUGAAUAGGUCAGCGGCCAAGCGAAAGCAUUAAGCAUCCCACCUGGGGAGUA
This 787-nucleotide ribosomal RNA is filed under the name uncultured bacterium. RNAcentral's name for it is "bacterial SSU rRNA". It matches the Rfam family "Bacterial small subunit ribosomal RNA", at positions 93 to 882 of the family's 1533-position model. The record is from RNAcentral.